RNAcentral lists this ribosomal RNA (254 nucleotides) under uncultured bacterium. RNAcentral describes it as "partial 16S ribosomal RNA". It matches the Rfam family "Bacterial small subunit ribosomal RNA", at positions 524 to 777 of the family's 1533-position model. The record is from RNAcentral.
UACAGAGGGGGCAAGCGUUAUUCGGAAUUAUUGGGCGUAAAGGGCGCGUAGGCGGCUUGGCAAGUGGAAGGUGAAAUCCCUCGGCUUAACCGAGGAACUGCCCUCCAAACCGCUUCGCUUGAGACCGGGAGAGGUGAGUGGAAUUCCCAGUGUAGCGGUGAAAUGCGUAGAUAUUGGGAGGAACACCAGUGGCGAAGGCGGCUCACUGGACCGGUACUGACGCUGAUGCGCGAAAGCGUGGGGAGCAAACGGGG